GGUUAAUAUGUGACCCGCACCUCUUGCCUGUUUUCGUAUAGUAAGACUAGAUUCCUACAUGGGCAAAAUUGGGAGUGACUAACAGGUUAAUUGGCUCUCAUAUCAAACUCAGUAGGUCUGAAAUUGACCUCAUCUUCUCUUUUCUCUCCUGUGUAAUUCCAGAUUCCCGGUCAAUGACAAGAUCACUGGCAAGGCUGAAAACUGGAGCCCAAGCCUCCUUCAUAACCAUAGAAAUCAGUCCCUGAGUGCUGUGGACUUUUUUUUUCUUUGAAAUAUUUCUUGUACCAGUGUGAAUUCCUUAUUUUCGUGACCUCCCUCUAGUUCUGCCUUUCCUGAUUCAUUGAUCAAAACAGCUUUCCAGCUGGUGCCUCUUGCAGCACACGAUCCUCUGCUCUCCAUCCAUCCUACAUAUUUUGUAAGAGGAGUCCAUGAGGAGCGCUGUCAACAUUUCAUCUUGAAAAACAAGGAUCAGAGUCAUCCACAAAGUCUCUUUUUUAGCCCUCUAGUUCCUCAUUCCAAGAGAUGCCCUCCUAUCAUUCCUGAAUUCCACUUCACUGUUGUAGUCGAACUCAGACUAUGCUUUGCCUUUCUAAUUCUUGAACAUGCUUUAUUGACUGAAAAUCAACUCAACUUCAUUUAUUUUCCCUCUCUCUUAAAUACUUUCAGUUUAAAAACAAAUAAAGAACCCUUCUUUCCUACAGUUAUCCAUGGGAAAUGAGUAUUUUUAAAUUACCAAAUCAAAUGCCUUGAUGUGUAAAGAAUCAUGUUUUUGCAGACUCUGUAUGAUUAAAUCUUCUGAGAAUGAAAAUGGGCAUUGCAGGGUUUUUUUUUUUUCUCUUCUCUAUUAAAAUAGACCCAACCUCAGGAAAAUUUAAAGAUACAGUAUGUGAUAGAAAGAUGUACCAUACUAAGUUUAAGACUAGACUAAUUUGACUACUUUACACCAUGGAGGAAGUGGUUGAGGGC
RNAcentral lists this long non-coding RNA (966 nucleotides) under Dasypus novemcinctus (nine-banded armadillo). RNAcentral describes it as "lncRNA (ENSDNOG00000051326.1)". Lineage: Eukaryota; Metazoa; Chordata; Mammalia; Cingulata; Dasypodidae. The record is from RNAcentral.